UACGGGGGGGGUAAGCGUUGUUCGGAAUUACUGGGCGUAAAGGGUGCGUAGGCGGGCCCUUAAGUCAGUGGUGAAAGCUCCGAGCUUAACUCGGAAACUGCCAUUGAUACUAUAGGUCUUGAAUUCGGUCGAGGUUGGCGGAAUGUGUCGUGUAGCGGUGAAAUGCUUAGAUAUGACACAGAACACCGAUUGCGAAGGCAGCUAGCUAGACCGACAUUGACGCUGAGGCACGAAAGCGUGGGGAUCAAACAGG
RNAcentral lists this ribosomal RNA (253 nucleotides) under uncultured bacterium. Its description in RNAcentral is "partial 16S ribosomal RNA". It matches the Rfam family "Bacterial small subunit ribosomal RNA", at positions 524 to 776 of the family's 1533-position model. The record is from RNAcentral.